Molecule: long non-coding RNA, 3260 nt
Filed under: Struthio camelus australis
Lineage: Eukaryota; Metazoa; Chordata; Aves; Struthioniformes; Struthionidae
Description: lncRNA (ENSSCUG00000009443.1)
Source: RNAcentral
CCUUUCCUCUCUGGUAGUAUAAAGCACUUCAUAAGUAUGAGCCAAAUAAUCUUAUUUCUGCUCAGUUAUGACCACCGCGAAGCGGGUUUGCGAAGUGGCAACCUGAUGGAGCUGGAGGAGCUGCCGUUUCCCGCGAGCCCUGCUGGGUGUGAAACCCGCUCCCCCACCCGCGCCCUCUCCGCUGCCGCCACGCUGGCUGCAAACAGCCCGUUUUACAGUUUGCAACUUUGAAAGAGGAAUGUGGACUCUGUAGAAAUGCGAUAAUUUCUGCUGUACAAAGAAGCUCUUCCUUAAACACCUAAAGUCCUGGUUCGUUCAGUAUGAGCUCUGCUUUCGUCACUUUUUAUUCCAAAUAUUUUCAGUAUUACUCAAGGUCACACGUUUUGGUGCAAAAAGUACGAAUGUCAUCUCCUGCACGCUGAAAAUGCAGAUGAACCUGCAAGCAAGGCUGAGCUGAAUGGAAAAACGAGGUUUCAUAACAGCGCAAGUCUUCUUGAGCAUAAAAUACUUGAGGUCACAAUGUCCCGAUCUGGAGAAUGGAGUCCGGCCUUGCAGAGUGGAAGGAGAAGUGGGCCAUGCUCCUGCCCUGAUUCCCUCAGCACUGCUGCAUGAGAAGAGCUAUUUGCAGAAAGGAUUUGCCCCUGCGGUAUGGGGUUUCCUAUUUCUCCUGCCUGCUCUCUGGCCAUCCUACGGCUGGAAUUAUGCUGCCUCCAAGAGGGCUGUUUCCAGCUGCAGAGGGGAACCACAGGGCUGUUCAGGUGGCAAAGUGGGGCUACCCGAGACGUCAUACUCACAAUAAGGCACUGAGAAACUGAGACAUGAAGCUGAGACCGGACACUUGCUGGGUGGGUGAAGCCAGAGGGAAGGACCGAUGGUGCUGCAGCGGGAUCGCCCAGCGCAGAACCAGAUGCCGAUGAAGACCGUUCCUGAGCUGCGGUGAGGAGGCAUCUUUGCUGAAUUGAAUGCUUUUUCUACUUUUUCUGUUGCCCGUAUUUUCAAAAUAUCCGUUUCUCUUAUCUGCCGUGAUGUAGUUGCUGACAGCACUGUUGGCAGUUUUAGACGCCUUUUGUUCCCUUCCUUUCUCUUCCAGCCCUUCUCUCAUCUGAAAAAAGCCUGAGUAGGAAUGAGCCUUCCUGCUCACCCCUGCUUUGUCCCACUGCGAGCACUUCUUUAGAAGGUUUUACCCAUCUCUAGGUGGGAAAACAUCUGAAAAAAGGUUUCCUUUUACAACUUCCCAGGGUUUCCAACUGAUUCGAAAUUUACUCCCAGUUUAUAGUAUAAAUAUUUGCUACUAGUCCCAGGUACGUGACCCUGCAUUCAAUACAAGUGAAUAUCAUCCCGUUUCUCGUGUGGCAGUACUCAGCCGUAUCACCGCUCCUCUAGAUCCAUGCAGUCUGGAUCUGUGCUACUGUCUCCCAACUUUGGGUCAACAGCAAAUUUCAACAGGCUUCUUAUGCCAUGUUUGUUCAUUAAAAUGUUAAGAAUGAUAAUUCUGAAGGAAGUCUGGAGAAUACAUAACCUCUCUUAGAGACCGACACUGCCCUAUCGCAGUACAUGUUAUCAGCUCCCCUUAGCUAAGCCUCUUCCCAUGUUACAGAUGUUACAUUGAUUCUCUAUUUUUCUACCUCACUGGUAUUUUCCCAUGCAGCACCAUGUCUAAUGCUCUAGCUAAAUUCAGAUAGAUUACAUCUACUGCCUUUCCUUUGUUUAGGUAGUCAGUUAUGCUAUCAGAGGGAGAUAUCUGAUUAUUCCGGCAUUGUCAAACCUUGAUACAUUCAUUUGCAUUUUAUCUCAUUUUCUGUUUGCCUCAUGUCACUAACUCUUUUCUUCAGCUUUUUUUUUUUUUAAACCUUUCAUAAGAUGGAAGCCAGAGCAUUGGACCAUAAUCUAUUCUAAUCAUUUCCCUUUCUUCUCCGUUGAAAACAAACUAUUUUCCAGGUACAUUGAUAUAAUCCCUUGCUUACUGCCUAGAGUAGCUCCAUCUGACAGCCCUUCCAGAGUCCAGGAAAGGGGACAGUCCAGUUUGCCUACCAGAGCACAAUGACAGUUUGGAUUUUUGCUUCCACCUCAGGGAUGGGGCUUUCCAUUUCCACGAUCUCUUGUCUUCCCUUUGCGCUAUGCUCAGUGCUGUCUUCCCAAGGAAAACAAAGUAUUCCUGGACGGCUGCAAGAAGCUCAGUGAAAGCUGCUAUCCACUGCUCACCAUACGCUCUUUUUAAGAGAGUUCUUUUUUUAUAGUGCUCUCUGUAGCUAUGGAAAAAUAUUGUGCUAUUUUUCUUUAUAUAAACAGGCCGUUCUUUACACCCACCAAAAGUAAUCACAAACUGUGUUUGGACUCCGAAAGCACAGAGGACUUCCCAGACUUGGAUGAAAGUAGUUAGUUGAGGUUUAUAUAAUUCUUAUUUGAAUUCAUUAUACAUGCACGGAUACAUGAAUCUUGCAAGAACUUUUCUAACUAAGUAUUAGUGCCUAAGGAAUACUGCUCUGCAGAGAUAAAAGCCCAGAUCCAGCAGACCCUUGUAUCAGAAAUUCUUAUCUGAUUUUCAACAUUUAUAGAAGGAUAAUUACCUUCCUCCUCUCACCGUCCACUGUUUUAAAAAGGAGUUGUAUAAACUUAUUUCCCUCGCAGAGGAGGUAGCAAAAGCUUGAGAUGCAGUUAACCCUGGCUUAUAAUCCCAGUUCCUUCAUUGGGUUAUACCUGGGCUCUUGCCAGGUCAUUACAUCAACAUUUUGAAGGGCCUUCACCAAGGCUAUUUGCCUUCAUUUUUUUUUUUUUUUUUUUCUGAUUAUUUAUCUUGAGAAAUCAAGAAUUUAAUUUCAGUAGAACAUGUCCCUGUUGCUUUUAGGUCAAAGAGAAGGAGCCUAGUGGACGUCAGGCCACCAGCAUAUGCCGAUAGUAGGACGCACCAUUCAGAAAUUCUUGGUGGCUGCACACACAAAAUGAUACCGGUAAUAGGAGGGAUGUGUUGCACUAUUGUACGGAGCAUUACAGUUUACCAUAUUUUCAAAGAGCAUAUGAAUGAUAGGAAAGAUAAGGGAAUGAUUACUGAGCAGGAGCCUGGUUCAAUCUGUCUAUCAGACCUGGAAACAUUUGGCUCUUGCAAAUAAUCUUUAAUUAGAUAGGUCACACUAUUAAAGUCAAUGGCUUCUUCUGUGAACAAGGACUGCUCAGCAGGCUAAGCGUUUGUUGAACUGAUUUCUAAGUCUUAAAUGCUCAGAGAAAACACAUUUUUUUAAAUAAAUUCUUGUUGCUGUACUUCA